AGUGAACGCUGGCGGUAGGCCUAACACAUGCCAGUCGAACGGCAGCACAGUAAGAGCUUGCUCUUACGGGUGGCGAGUGGCGGACGGGUGAUGAAUACAUCGGAAUCUACUUUUUCGUGGGGGAUAACGUAGGGAAACUUACGGCAAUAGCGCAUACGGCCUACGGGUGAGAGCAGGGGAUCUUCGGAUCUUGCGCGAUUGAAUGAGCCGAUGUCGGAUUAGCUAGUUGGCGGGGUAAAGGCCCACCAAGGCGACGAUCCGUAGCUGGUCUGAGAGGAUGAUCAGCCACACUGGAACUGAGACACGGUCCAGACUCCUACGGGAGGCAGCAGUGGGGAAUAUUGGACAAUGGGCGCAAGCCUGAUCCAGCCAUACCGCGUGGGUGAAGAAGGCCUUCGGGUUGUAAAGCCCUUUUGUUGGGAAAGAAAAGCAGCAGGUUAAUACCCCGCUGUUCUGACGGUACCCAAAGAAUAAGCACCGGCUAACUUCGUG
This 492-nucleotide ribosomal RNA is filed under the name uncultured bacterium. RNAcentral's name for it is "partial 16S ribosomal RNA". It matches the Rfam family "Bacterial small subunit ribosomal RNA", at positions 29 to 507 of the family's 1533-position model. The record is from RNAcentral.